GAGCGAAGUCGUCUAAUUCUAGUGGCGUUCAUAUUUGCUAUUGAAGGUUGGCAACAGCAAAAAGCAAUUUUCCGUGCCUAUCAAAUCAACCUGUAUUUGUUUCUUGUAUUUUUGAUUUAUAUU
Papaver somniferum (opium poppy) is the source of this 123-nucleotide small nucleolar RNA. The record is from RefSeq and is a predicted model, not a curated record. NCBI's taxonomy places the organism in Eukaryota, Viridiplantae, Streptophyta, Magnoliopsida, Ranunculales, Papaveraceae.